GGGCUCUAUGGGGCUUUAUGGGGUCAAUAUGGGUCUCUAUGGGUCGCUAUGGGGUCCCUAUGGGCCUCUAUGGGUCUCUAUGGGUCCCUAUAGGGUUCUAUGGGGUCUUUAUGGGGCUCUAUGGGCCUCUAUGUGGCUCUAUGGGGUCCCUAUGGGUUCCUAUGGGGUCCUUAUGGGGCUCUGUAGGGCUUUAUGGGGUCCCUAUGGGGCUCUAUGGGUCGCUAUGGGGUCCCUGUGGGUCCCUGUGGGUCCCUAUGGGCCCCUAUGGGUCUCUAUGGGGUACUGUGGGUCCCUAAGGGGUUCUAUGGGGUCCCUGUGGGGUCUCUAUGGGUCACUAUGUGUCUCUGUGGGGCUACAAUGGGGCUCUAUGGGUCCCUAUGGGGCUCUAUGUGGUCCCUAUGUGUCCCUAUGGGGUCUUUAUGGGGCUCUAUAGGGCUUUAUGGGGUCCUAUGGGGCUCUAUGGGUCGCUAUGGGGUCCCUGUGGGUCCCUGUGGGCCCCUAUGGGUCUCUUUGGGGGCUCUAUGGGGUCCCUAUGGGUCCGUAUGGGUCGCUAUGGGGUCCCUAUGGGGCUCUAUGGGACUCUCUGGGUCCCUAUGGGGUUCUAUGGGGUCCCUGUGGGGUCUCUAUGGGUUACUAUGGGUCUCUGUGGGGCCACAAUGGGGCUCUAUGGGGUCCCUAUGGGGUCUUUAUGGGGCUCUAUGGGGUCCCUAUGGGUCCCUAUGGGUCGCUAUGGGGUCUCUGUGGGGCUCUCUGGGGUCACUAUCGGGCUCUAUGGGUCCCUAUGGGUCCCUAUGGGGGCUCUAUGGGGUCCCUAUGGGUCCCUAUGGGGUCCUUAUGGGGCUCUGUAGGGCUUUAUGGGGUCUCUAUGGGUCUGUAUGGGUCGCUAUGGGGUCCCUAUGGGCCCCUCUGGGUCUCUAUGGGGUCUCUGUUGGGCUCUAUGGGUCCCUAUGGGGUCCCUGUGGGGCUCUAUGGGCCUCUAUGGGGCCCCUAUGGGUCCCUAUGGGGUCUUUAUGGGGCUCUGUAGGGCUUUAUGGGGUCCCUAUGGGCCUCUAUGUUNNNNNNNNNNNNNNNNNNNNNNNNNNNNNNNNNNNNNNNNNNNNNNNNNNUGAGGUCUCUGUGGGGCUCUAUGGGGUCUCUGUGGGGCUCUAUGGGGUCUCUAUGGGGCUCUGUGGGUCUCUAUGGGUCCCUAUGGGGUCUCUAUGGGUCUCUAUGGGUCCCUAUGGGGUCUCUAUGGGGUCUCUAUCUGUCCCAAUGGAUUCCUUUGUGUCUCUAUGGGGCCACAAUGGGGCUCUAUGGGUCUCUAUGGGGUCCCUAUCGGGUCUCUAUGGGUCUCUAUGGGUCCCUAUGGGGUCUCUAUGGGCCCCUAUCGGUCUCUAUGGGGCCCUGUGGGGAUCUAUGGGGUCUAUAUGGGGUCUCUAUGCGGUUCCUGUGGGUCCUUAUGGGUCUCUAUGGGUCCCUAUGGAUUCCUAUGUGUCUCUAUGGGGCCACAACGGGGCUCUAUGGGUCCCUAUGGGUCCCUUGGGCUCUAUGGGUCAAUAUGGGGCUCUAUGGGGUUCUCUGGGGUCUCUAUGGGACUCAAUGCGGUUCUAUGGGGUCCCUAUGGGGCCCCUAUGGGGGCUCUGUGGGGCUCUGUGGGGUCUUAUGGGGGCUCUAUACUUCCCUAUGGGGUCCCUAUGGGGUCUUUAUGGGGCUCUGUGGGUCAAUAUGGGUCUCUAUGGGACUCUAUGGGACUCUAUGGGUCUCUAUGGGUCUCUAUGGGGCUCUACGGGGCUCUAUGGGGUCUCUAUGGGGCUCUAUGGGUCUCUAUGUGGUCUUUAUGGGGCUCUAUGGGGCUCUAUGGGGUCUCUAUGGGGUUUCAAUGGGGUCCUUAUGGAUUCCUAUGUGUCUCUAUGGGGCCACAACGGGGCUCUAUGGGUCCCUAUGCAUCCCUAUGGGGUCCCUAUGGGGCCCCUAUGGGCCCCUAUGGGCCUCUAUGGGGUCUCUAUGGGGCCUCUAUAAGUCUCUAUGGGGUCUUUAUAGGGUCUCUAUGGGACUCUGUGGUUCCCUAUGUGGUGUUUAUGGGGCUCUAUGGGUGUCUAUGGGUCCCUAUGGGGUCUCUAUUGGUCUCUGUUGGUCUCUAUGGGGUGUUUAUGGGGUCUCUAUGGGUCGCUAUGGGUCACUAUGGGGCUCUGUGGGGAUCUAUGGGGCUCUAUGGGUCUCUAUGGGGUCCCUAUGGAUUCCUAUGUGUCUCUAUGGGGCCACAACGGGGCUCUAUGGGUCAAUAUGGGGCUCUAUGGGGUUCUCUGGGGUGUCUGUGGGACUCAAUGCGGUUCUAUGG
Long non-coding RNA from Phasianus colchicus (ring-necked pheasant), 2317 nucleotides. Lineage: Eukaryota; Metazoa; Chordata; Aves; Galliformes; Phasianidae. The record is from Ensembl.